AUUAAAAAUUCUAGUAAAGUAAUAUAGAAAAUCUUAAUCUUAUGAAUAAUAAUAAAUUACUUUAUAAAAAUUAAAAAAAAAUAUAAUAAAAGAACUGAAACAUCUUAGUAUAAUUUAAAGAAUUAGUAGAAAGUAGUGGCGAAUGAAAUCUACCGACAAAAAUGAUUUUUACAUAAAUUAUUAAAAGAUUUAUCUAUAGAAUUAGUACUGUGAAGGAAAUUUUAUUAUUACUAGAUUUAAACAAUGAUUCUCAUUUACCUUUUGUAUAAUGGGCUUACAAGAAUAAAUAUUAGCAAGCUAUAAGGCUUAGGAAACUAUAAAGUUAAUAUAACCCGAAACCAAGUGAUCUAAUUGUGAACAGUUUUAUGAACCAACUAAUGAAUGUAGAAAAAUUCUUAGAAGAUUUGCAAUUAGCAGCGAAAAACCAAUCGAACUUGGAUAUAGCUGGUUCUCUACGAAAAUUAUAUAAGUAAUACUUAAUUUAAAAAGUCAAACAAAUAGUUAAAACAUUAUUUGUUAAAAAGAUAACAAUCUUAAUUAGAAAUUUAUGAAUAUUAUAGAAAUAAAAAAAAAGAGUUUAUUAUUAACACAAUAAAAAAGUGGGCUUAGAAACUGCCAUAUUUUAUAGAGUACGUAAUAGUUUAUUUAAUAAAAAAUUUAACUUUUUAAAUUAAAUUUAACCUUCUAUCAAAAAUUCUAAUUAAAAAGUAGUAGAGUAUUUUAUUAUCAAUAAUGAAAAUUAAUAAAAGAAAUAAUGUAAGCAUGAUUAUUAAUAAAUUUACCCUUAAAAUUUCUUAUUUUACAAUGAAUAAGGUAAUACAAACCCUCAACAAAAAAGGGGUAUUUAUAAUUAACUCAAGAAAUAUUUUAAUUAUAAUUUGUAUAAUCUAAAUCAAGAAAGGAUAAAAAAAUAAACAAUUUUUUCUAAGUAACUCGGCAAAAUAGAGUAUCGACUGUUUACCAAAAACAUAGCCCUAGAAAAUAUCUAAGGUGUAACCUGCCCAGUGAUCUUUAAAUCAUAUAAGAGAAAAUCUUAUAAAUAAGUUUAAAAGGACGCGGUAACCUUGACCGUGAUAAUGUAGCAUAAUCACUCGCCAUUUAAUUGAUGGAUAGUAUGAAUGGUUGAACGAAUACUCCACUGUCUUAGAAAAAAAUUAAUAUAAAUUGAAAUAACAGUUAAGAUGCUGUUUUAAACUGUAAGACGAAAAGACCCUAUAGAGCUUAACUAUAGUUUCCCUACCCUUUAUAAGAAAAUAAUCAUUAAUCUAGGGAGAUUGGUAGUUUAGUUGGGGCGACUGUCUUUUAAAUACAACAAAGAUAAGCAAUAUUAAUAUUUAAUUUAUUGUAUAACUAAAAAGUUUAACAAUUAUUAUCGUAGGCUAUAUUGACCCGUUUUCUCUUUAUAAAAAGUAAAACGAUUAAUUAAUAAAAGCUACCUUAGGGAUAACAGGAUAAUUUUAUUUUAGAGUUCUCAUCGAAAAUAAAGUUUGUCACCUCUAUGUUGAAUUAAGAUAUCCUGGUAAUGCAGAAGUUACCAAAGGUAGGUCUGUUCGACCUUUAAAAUCUUACAUGAUUUGAGUUCAUUCCGUCGCAAGACAGGAAGGUUUCUAUCUACAGUUCAAAAGACCUAAAAGAUCCUUAGUACGAAAGGAAUAGGAUAACUAAAAAUCCAUUAAUUAUAUUUAAAAAUAAAUUUUGAAUGCCUCUAACACUUUAGAAUGGGUUUUUAA
RNAcentral lists this ribosomal RNA (1730 nucleotides) under Blackfordia virginica. RNAcentral's name for it is "16S ribosomal RNA". The stretch from base 205 to 1647 matches the Rfam family "Bacterial large subunit ribosomal RNA". The record is from RNAcentral. Lineage: Eukaryota; Metazoa; Cnidaria; Hydrozoa; Leptothecata; Blackfordiidae.